This 813-nucleotide unclassified non-coding RNA is filed under the name Hevea brasiliensis (rubber tree). The record is from RNAcentral. Lineage: Eukaryota; Viridiplantae; Streptophyta; Magnoliopsida; Malpighiales; Euphorbiaceae.
AGUGGAUCUUCUCUUUCAUUCACACUAGAUAAGCCAAACUUGAUUGGUGUUUCUUUAUGCCUUGUUUUUGAUCCCAAAAAUCAUUAUGGUUAUCAUGUUAGGUUUAUUUGCGGAGCCCAAUUCAUUGAUAAAUCUAGACACAAAAUAAAAAUUGCCAAGUUCAGUUUUCGUUAUGCUUGGAUGACUAAUCUGUUAGAAUCAGAACAUGUGUACCUUUGGAAUGAACUGUUCGACAUGGAAGACAGUUUUGUUGAGGCCUCAUUUCACUUCUUCAUUGAACAUUUUUCACUCAAGCCACAACAUAAUUUCGAGGCUAUAAUUAAGUGUGGGGUACUUCCUAUAUUUCGAGACGAUUGUCUCUGCAGAGAUAAAAAGAGAAGCAGAAAUCAAGAAGAUGAGGAAGAAGAACCUUCUCCGCCUAAAAUUGAAACGAGACCAAACACCUUACAACAGCACUACCGCCACAGCAGAGACUCAUUAAGUGUUUAAAGAUUUCGUGUUUGGAGGCUUUUGUGUGCGACUUUUCUGCAGAAUUUGAUGCAGCUCUCAGCUUUCUAAACCUUUGGCUUUUGUUCUGCUGGCAAUUGUUUGCUGUCUUUUGUGAUGCAACUUUGGUGCUGUAUUAUUGGCGUGUUUUGUACCUUUCUUUCUAUGCUUUUUCACUUGGAAUACCAUUGUUGGGUGUAAUAGGGAAGCCUAUCGGAUUGGUUUAAUCGGCAAAGUCCAUACUAAGUAUUUUCUAGAUGUCAUUUAUCAAUAAAAUUUUGCUGAUAAAAGCAAUUGUGCUGAAUUAUAAAUUUUGAAUAAACACCA